This is a long non-coding RNA of Andrographis paniculata, 744 nucleotides long. RefSeq lists it as uncharacterized. The transcript has 3 exons. The record is from RefSeq and is a predicted model, not a curated record. NCBI's taxonomy places the organism in Eukaryota, Viridiplantae, Streptophyta, Magnoliopsida, Lamiales, Acanthaceae.
GUUUGUCUCAAUCCGAAAGGUGGACGAUUCCCCGGGGGAGACAUCUACGGCGGCGACGGCGACGCCAUCUCCGGCGAGGCCCACAAACUGGCGGUUGAAAACCCUCAAAUUGAAGCUCGUCUGGUUCACCCUCCAUAGCUGCAGUCGAAGAGGGCAGUGUCCGAUUGGCGACGAGAAUGGAGCCUCCACCCAGCUCUGCAGAUACAUACUUGUUGCUUUUGAAGACCUUGAAAUGGAGCUGUGUGCCAUCCAAGAAAUCCUUGUUGAUGGGGAUGGAGUCGAAGAGGGAGGGUUUGAUCCAUCCCUCAGUCACCAGCCACCCUCCCAGGCUCACUGCACGAACCUGAAUAUUAGGAACAUCAUCAUCGUCGUCGUGAUCACCUGCAGAUCUUCUUGUUCUUGUUCCUGCUGCUGCUGCAAAAUUGGAGAAACUGCUGCUGCUGCUGCUACAGAAGGAUAGUAUCAUCAACAACAACACUGGAAAUCAAGAUGAAACAACAAGGACAAAAGAACACAAGAAUUUGGUAACCCAGUUCGAUCACGAUGAUCUACGUCUGGGGGCGCUGCCAAGCCAGGAAUUUUACUAUCAAGUACGCAGGCACAUGUUAAAGUGAGAAUACAUGGAUAUUUAUAGCCUAAGCCUUUGACAAUAAUAUCCAAAUCAUAUCUCUAAAAUCUAAAAUAUAAUAUCCAAAUCAUAUCCCUAGAUUUUAGGAUAUAAUCAGGCUUCAUAUCCCAACAUAU